UUUACUUCCCAAACUAUUUGUUUGAUUUUUUUUUGUAGAAGCUGGAAUUUGUGCAGCUGUUUGUAAUUUGUUAUGAUAAGAAUCAUCUAGUAAAUAUGUUAGCUCAACCUCAAAAGAGUAACCACCCCUCUGCUUAAAAGAAAUGGUACUUCCUGCUUUCAUAAACAGUCAUGUGCAUAGUUUAGCAAGGCCUGAUGCCUCUGGAGCUUUUUCGUUUUGAGCACCAUUGAAUCAGUCCUUACAGAAGUACUGUGAAUCUUGUGGCCUCAUUCUGAACAAAAGGGAUUAGGAAAAAAUCAUUUGAUAAUAAGACUUUGGAAAGCAAGGGCAGGCAAUCUUGGUUGUGAAUAUUUUCUGAUUUUUCCAGAAAUCAAGCAGAAGAUUGAGCUGCUGAUGUCAGUUAACUCUGAGAAGUCGUCCUCUUCAGAAAGGCCAGAGCCUCAACAGAAAGCUCCAUCUGCACCACCACCUCCACCUCCGCCCCCACCUCCGCCCCUGCCAGAGCCAGCACCACCAGAACCAGAGGAGGAGAUUCUGGGAUCUGAUGAUGAGGAGCAAGAAGACCCUGCAGAUUAUUGCAAAGGUUUGUGUAAUUAAGCACUAUAUAAAAAGUUGAAUGUUAAAUAGUAAACAUCUAUAUAGCCCUUGACAACUUUGGUCCUCAAGAGCCACUUGAAUGGUCUUCUUUUAGAGUGAAGCUUAUGCUUUUGUGUGGUAGAGACAGAGUUUUCUUAGUGCUGGUCCUAGAUUAUGGAAUUCACUCCUGCAAGAACCAAGGGUAUGUCUACACUAGAGAGACUAUACAGGCAUUGCUAUGUCACCGUAGCUAUGUUGGCAUAACCCUGUAGUAUAGAUGCUGCCUAUAUGUUGGUGUGGGAGCACCACCUCCCUGAUUGAUGGUAGCUCUAAGUCGAUGGAAACAUUCUUCUGUUGACUUAGCUUCAUCUAUACAGGGGAUUAGUUUGGCAUAACUGUGUCGCUCAGGGAGUGCUUUUUUUCCCCACACACCUGAGCAACGUAAUUAUGUUGAUCUAAUUUUUAAGUGUAGACCAAGCCUAAGAAUGGCCACAAAAGUCACCAUUUUCUGUCUAUGCAAUGCUUAUCACUUUUAUUUAUUUUACUUUCCCCUAGGCAAAGGAAUGGAGAGAACAUUUUUGGACCAACAUUAGACACAUUAUUUUUUAACUCUGCGAGGUUUUUAAAUAGUUUGGUAACUGGGAUGAUAUAAUGAUAUAAUAACCUAUACUUAGAAUAGAAUUUAUUUCUCUGAUUCUUCCCUCUAACUUCUCUGCACCAUUGAGACUCACAUUCACUCACUGGAAAUCUUCUGAUCCUGUCCUUGUACAUUAUAUGGAAACUUUAUUCAUACCUUUCUUAUUCUGCUAUUCUGCCUGAUUUACGAUGUGCAUGGGCUAAUUAGAUCAUCAGCUAGUCCAAUUGCCCCAACUUCUGCAGGGAGUCUUGGAACCAUAUCUUGGGGCAUCACUGGGAAUCUGGUAAAGUACGAAACAUUAUUUUAGUGGAGAAUGCAGAUAAACUCAAGACAAGUGAAAGACAAGUAAAUGUUGAGCAAAAAACGUUAAUGUGAACCAGGAGC
Molecule: long non-coding RNA, 1597 nt
Organism: Chrysemys picta bellii (western painted turtle)
Lineage: Eukaryota; Metazoa; Chordata; Testudines; Emydidae
Source: Ensembl